CAGCCGCCGCGGGAAUACGUAGGGUGCAAGCGUUAUCCGGAAUUAUUGGGCGUAAAGAGCUCGUAGGCGGUUUGUCGCGUCUGCUGUGAAAACUGGAGGCUCAACCUCCAGCCUGCAGUGGGUACGGGCAAACUAGAGUGCGGUAGGGGAGAUUGGAAUUCCUGGUGUAGCGGUGGAAUGCGCAGAUAUCAGGAGGAACACCGAUGGCGAAGGCAGAUCUCUGGGCCGUUACUGACGCUGAGGAGCGAAAGCGUGGGGAGCGAACAGGAUUAGAGACCCCUGUAGUCCCUGUCUCUUAUAC
This 301-nucleotide ribosomal RNA is filed under the name uncultured bacterium. RNAcentral describes it as "partial 16S ribosomal RNA". It matches the Rfam family "Bacterial small subunit ribosomal RNA", at positions 509 to 807 of the family's 1533-position model. The record is from RNAcentral.